GUGUGUGUGUGUGUUACAUGGGCCCCGACGGUUAUUGCGGCGGCCUUUCUUCACGGCGGGUUACCUUCCUCACCCCCCUCACCCAGGGCCGAGCCGACCCAGGAGUUAGGCAGCUCGAUGGCCUGUAAAGGGUGCAUGCCUGUAACCGCGUGUUCCGGGCCCAGACGGCAUUCCGAACGAGCUGCUCCGCAUCUUGCCUCACGGCAUGAAACGAGCCCUACACAACACACUGAAGAUCAUGUACGUCAAGUCCACAAUCCCGGAGUCCUGGGCCACUUCGGACACGGUCCUGCUCCCAAAACCUGGGGACGCUCUCGACAUCAAGAACAAGAGGCCCAUUGCUCUAGCCAACACUUGCUAUAAACUGUACACCUCUAUGCUCACCCUGGGCAUCGGCGAACUGGCAGGCCCACUCCAGCUGUUCAGCGAACCACAGGAGGGCUUCCGGGCCUAUUGCAACACGGAACGGCAGAUACUGAACCUUGUGCAUGUAUUGGAGGACGCUGCCCUGUAUGGGAAAGACGUAUACGCAGUAUAUGUUGACUACAGCUCUGCGUUUAACACAAUCGAUCAGGACAGGCUACUCCAGAUUAUGUUCGAUCUGGGCCUGCCCGACGACCUGAUACGCGCAGUCCGCAACCUAUACGCGCACGCCACCACCCGCAUUCGUACUGAACAUGGAUGCACAUCCGCCAUCCCAAUAGAACGUGGCACGGUGCAAGGCGACACCCUGUCACCUGUACUGUUUAUCUUGUUCAUGGAACCGCUUGUGCGGUGGCUCCACGCAGGUGGGCGGGGCUACCGCUAUGGAUGCCUCAGCCCGGAAGACAAUGCACGGUACCACUGCAGCGCCGCCGCGUACGCUGACGACUUGGCGACCCUGACCACAACGCUGGAAGACCUGCAGAUCCAAUGCGACAAAAUCUCGGACUACGCAGACUGGGCAAGCCUGCGAGUCAAUCACACCAAGUGCGCAACUACCGCCAUCUGGCACAACAAGUCCCGGUCCACCCCGACCCUUGACGGACCCACCGGCCAAGCCACGCUGAACGCGAUGCACCGUGAACUGACUAACAAGCUACGAAUUGGCAACACCACUGUACCGUACUACCCGCCCACAAAACCCUACAAAUACCUGGGGGUGCAACUCACCUUCUCACUAGACUGGAAGGCGCAAGUCUCCCACGUCACGGAAA
RNAcentral lists this long non-coding RNA (1196 nucleotides) under Chlamydomonas reinhardtii. RNAcentral's name for it is "long non-coding RNA (CREI_LNC001260)". Lineage: Eukaryota; Viridiplantae; Chlorophyta; Chlorophyceae; Chlamydomonadales; Chlamydomonadaceae. The record is from RNAcentral.